Molecule: long non-coding RNA, 1328 nt
Filed under: Mus musculus (house mouse)
Lineage: Eukaryota; Metazoa; Chordata; Mammalia; Rodentia; Muridae
Description: long non-coding RNA chr12:90310317-90311645
Source: RNAcentral
UGAGAAGAGCUGCUUUGGAGGGGAAACAUGAUGAAACCAGAAACAGGGAGGAAGAAGCUUGUAAUUUGAGAGCUGCUUAUCUUACGGGGUUUAAUAGGAAGGAACCAACUUCCUUUCUAUGCAGGUUCCAAAAAAAAGUCUCUCUCGCCCUCCCCCUUCCCCCACUCCCAAAAGUGGCCUAUUUCUGAGUUCAGUUUGAUUACAUAGCACAUCCCUCAUGGUUUCUUUUUUCCUUCUAGGACCUAGCAUAGGAUCAGUCCAAAACAACAAAACGAUGUCCUUCCAUAACCUUGUUUAACAGAGUUAACAUGCAAUGCAGAAUAAAAUACAAAGAAAUAAACAGAAAUGAUGCUAUCUUCCAACAGUUGGUUUAUGGCCCUUUUAAGAACUUUGUUUAUAGCCAUUGAUGGAUUAGGAUGUAGUAUGGGGUUUAUACAUGAAAUAUAAUCAGAUAGGACAGAAAUAUCCAGAGAGCAUUGGUGAUUUCAUUAAAGUUCAUUGAAGAAGUAGCCAACUAACCAAAUUGCACAUCAUCUCACUGGGUAAUUAUUUGACACCCAAAGCUUUCACAAAAAUAAUCCCAGAAGACAGAAUAUAAAAUAAUAAUUAUUGUUCAGUUCUAAAUUCUAUUUAGAAACUAUUUGAUAACUUUUGUUCUGCCAGAAGGAUAAUUAUUAACCUUGUCAUGUUUUUGAAAUUAUGUUCUAUAUCUUAUCUUCUAUUCAAGUCAAUCCUUAGUGCAAAUUACACCCAUAGUACAAACAGGAAUGCUUAUGAUUUAUGCCAGUCAUUUAAAGUUAGAUCACAUCUGAUAUCAGUAUAGCUACCACUAAAAGAUAGUUGCCUUUUUCACCUGUAUUAUUAACCAAGGCCUACUAUAUAUCUUUUCCAGAUGAAAAGAGAAACUAUAACAGAAUCUAGAAUGCUGACUCCAAACUGGAUUUUCCAGAAAAACUGUAACCACUGUUACAGCCUUUUUAUGCUUGUCCCAGUUCCUGAAAAGGAAGCUUAUUUUCAUUAUGCUUAGCUUUGGACCUAAGCUAGGCUUGUUCCCAACUAGCCUGCAACUCAAUUAUCCCACUUAUACUAAUCUAUAGUAUAGUGCCACAUGGCUGGUUACCUCUUCUCAGUUUCCAACUACCUCCACAUUUUGAUGGUAAAUCUCCCACACCUGACUCUUUUUCCCUGUCUCUGCCGGGUGUCUGAAUUUUUAUUUUGCCUUGUGCUACAGGACAUAGAGUUUUUAUUUUAACCAAUCACAAGGUGCCUCAAGUAGGCAAGGAAGCAAAGAGACACAUCUUCUCAUAGUACAUAUAAACAUUAUCCCU